Molecule: long non-coding RNA, 371 nt
Filed under: Elaeis guineensis (African oil palm)
Lineage: Eukaryota; Viridiplantae; Streptophyta; Magnoliopsida; Arecales; Arecaceae
Description: long non-coding RNA (EGUI_LNC004080)
Source: RNAcentral
AAUCUGAAUUUGUCGACUAUAUAUCGACAAUUGUGGAAGUCCGAAUGACCAUCAGUCAGCAACUCUGAUAUGUCGAUGCCAUCGGUUUGAAGUCAAUUGAGUCAUCAUAGUCGGAGUUUAUCAGAAAGAUUGAGAAUAGCCGAUUGUUGGUCGGCAAUCGAUUGAUACUCGACGAUUCAUGCUUAUCAGGCCGAUUGAAAGUGAGAAUUGGGGGAGUCAGCUGAAUUGCUCCAACAAUAGCUAUUGCUCAUAUUUGGAAUCUGAAUAGCUCACUUAUAUUUGGUGCUAAACAUGACAUGCUGUGAGAUGAAGGGUACUUUUAUGUCCCUAAGAUAUACGAUGUGGUGGUUAUCCAAAGCUAUACAACCCAU